AUGUUUAUGAAGGAAAGGGAAGAAAUUGAUGAAGUGUUCCUUAAACAGGAACCUAUGUUGAAACAUAACCUUCCCAUUGAAAUUCUUGGGGAUCCCCCUCCACCCAAGGGUGAUCCUGUGUUUGAACUCAAACCACUACCUAAUAAUCUUAAAUAUUCUUAUCUUGAUGAAAAAGAAAUAUAUCUUGUUAUUAUUAGUGCUAACCUUUCAGAGAAAGAAGAAGAAAGAUUAUUGAAAACUCUGAAGAAGCACCGAGCUGCUAUUGGAUAUACUCUGGAUGAUCUUAAGGGCAUUAGUCCCACAUUAUGUCAACACAAAAUUUCAGUGGAGAAAGAUGCCAAACUAGUUAGAGAUCCUCAAAGACGAUUAAAUCCCAAGAUGAAGGAAGUGGUAAGAAAGGAGAUACUAAAGCUCCGUGAGGCAGGUAUUAUUUAUCCCGUUGCUGAUAGUGAAUGGGUAAGCCCUGUCCAUUGUGUCCCCAAAAAGGGAGGUAUUACCGUUGUUCCUAAUGAUAAAGAUGAAUUGAUCCCGCAAAGAAUUAUUACAGGUUAUAGGAUGGUAGUUGAUUUUCGUAAGUUAAAUAAAGCUACUAAGAAAGAUCAUUACCCUUUACCUUUUAUUGAUCAAAUGCUAGAAAAGCUAUCCAAACACACACAUUUUUGCUUUCUAGAUGGCUAUUCUGGCUUCUCUCAGAUACCUGUGUCAGCAAAGGAUCAAUCUAAAACUACUUUUACUUGCCCUUUUGGUACUUUUGCUUAUAGACGUAUGCCUUUUGGUUUACGUAAUGCACCUGCUAUCUUUCAAAGAUGCAUGAUGGCUAUAUUUUCUGAUUUUUGUGAUAAGAUAUGUGAGGUAUUCAUGGAUGACUUCUCCGUCUAUGGAUCCUCCUUUGAUGAUUGUUUGAGCAACCUUGAUUGA
RNAcentral lists this ribosomal RNA (918 nucleotides) under Triticum aestivum (bread wheat). RNAcentral describes it as "partial small subunit ribosomal RNA". Lineage: Eukaryota; Viridiplantae; Streptophyta; Magnoliopsida; Poales; Poaceae. The record is from RNAcentral.